RNAcentral lists this ribosomal RNA (302 nucleotides) under uncultured bacterium. Its description in RNAcentral is "partial 16S ribosomal RNA". It matches the Rfam family "Bacterial small subunit ribosomal RNA", at positions 508 to 807 of the family's 1533-position model. The record is from RNAcentral.
GCAGUAGCCGCGGGAAAACGGAGGGUGCAAGCGUUAUCCGGAUUUAUUGGGUUUAAAGGGUCCGUAGGCGGAUCUGUAAGUCAGUGGUGAAAUCUCACAGCUUAACUGUGAAACUGCCAUUGAUACUGCAGGUCUUGAGUAAAUUUGAAGUGGCUGGAAUAAGUAGUGUAGCGGUGAAAUGCAUAGAUAUUACUUAGAACACCAAUUGCGAAGGCAGGUCACUAAGAUUUAACUGACGCUGAUGGACGAAAGCGUGGGGAGCGAACAGGAUUAGAUACCCGCGUAGUCCCUGUCUCUUAUAC